RNAcentral lists this unclassified non-coding RNA (210 nucleotides) under Oryza sativa (Asian cultivated rice). RNAcentral describes it as "partial microRNA MIR478c-14 precursor". Lineage: Eukaryota; Viridiplantae; Streptophyta; Magnoliopsida; Poales; Poaceae. The record is from RNAcentral.
GGCUUAUUUGGUUUGAUACCAAUUUACUACCCUACCAAAAUUUUGGCAACUUCAAUAGUAGCAAGUGGAUGUUUGGUUUGCUACCAAAUUUUACCCACCAUAGUUUAAAUUGAAUACUACCUAAUUUGGUAGUACCAAAAUUUGCCAAUGUUUUAGUACUACCUAAAUUUUAGUAGGGAAAAAAUUGGCUCCAAACCAAACAAGCCCUGA